This 475-nucleotide ribosomal RNA is filed under the name uncultured bacterium. RNAcentral's name for it is "partial 16S ribosomal RNA". It matches the Rfam family "Bacterial small subunit ribosomal RNA", at positions 29 to 523 of the family's 1533-position model. The record is from RNAcentral.
AAUGAACGUUGGCGGCGUGGAUUAGGCAUGCAAGUCGCGCGGACCAGCAAUGGUUAGCGGCGAAAGGGAGAGUAACGCGUGGGUUAUCUGCCUCUUGGGCCAGGAUAGCUGCGGGAAACUGCAGGUAAUACUGGAUAAUGUCUUCGGACCAAAGGUGUGAUUCCGCCGGGAGAUGAGCCCGCGUCCUAUUAGCUAGUUGGUGAGGUAAUGGCUCACCAAGGCUUAGAUGGGUAGGGGGUGUGAGAGCACGACCCCCCUUACUGGGACUGAGACACUGCCCAGACACCUACGGGUGGCUGCAGUCGAGGAUCUUCGGCAAUGGGCGAAAGCCUGACCGAGCGACGCCGCGUGUGGGAUGAAGGCCUUCGGGUUGUAAACCACUGUCGUAGAGGAGGAAAUUCUGGGGGGUUCUCCCCUCAGUUUGACCUAUUCUAGGAGGAAGUCAGGGCUAAGUUCGUGCCAGCAGCCGCAGUAA